UAGGGAAUCUUCCGCAAUGGACGAAAGUCUGACGGAGCAACGCCGCGUGAGUGAAGAAGGAUUUCGGUUCGUAAAACUCUGUUGUUAGGGAAGAAAAAAUGUAUAGUAACUAUAUACAAAAGAGACGGUACCUAACCAGAAAGCCACGGCUAACUACGUGCCAGCAGCCGCGGUAAUACGUAGGUGGCAAGCGUUGUCCGGAAUUAUUGGGCGUAAAGCGCGCGCAGGUGGUUUAGAAAGUCUGAUGUGAAAGCCCACGGCUCAAACGUGGAGGGUCAUUGGAAACUAAUUAACUUUAGUGCAGGAGAGAGAAGUGGAAUUCCUAGUGUAGCGGUGAAAUGCGUAGAGAUUAGGAGGAACACCGGUGGCGAAAGCGGCUUUUUGGGCUGCAACUGACACUGAGGCGCGAAAGCGUGGGGAGCAAACAGG
Molecule: ribosomal RNA, 429 nt
Filed under: Verrucomicrobiota bacterium
Lineage: Bacteria; Pseudomonadati; Verrucomicrobiota
Description: Verrucomicrobia bacterium partial 16S ribosomal RNA
Rfam family: Bacterial small subunit ribosomal RNA
Source: RNAcentral